Long non-coding RNA from Prionailurus viverrinus (fishing cat), 454 nucleotides. RefSeq lists it as uncharacterized. NCBI's taxonomy places the organism in Eukaryota, Metazoa, Chordata, Mammalia, Carnivora, Felidae. The transcript is spliced from 3 exons. The record is from RefSeq and is a predicted model, not a curated record.
GUCUACUUCCAGGCUGCGGUUGACCAAAGAAAGUGAAACCAUGGAUAAAGGGGGACUACGGUACUACAAAUAAGUUGCAGAGCUACAGUUUCUAGUGACCAGGAUGAAACCCACUGGGACAGCCCUGUCACUUUGGAGCCUGCAGACAGGAUCCUGGGAAAACUAGCAGAAGCCAGCAAAAGUUCCUAGAUCAGUACUCUCCAUGGUAUGCCACUGGGCCUCCCACAGACAUGGAUUUAGACCUAUGAUGUCAUCGUAUCUGGAAGCUCCUCUGUGACUCUGCAGCCUGUGCCUUAGUGCAUAAACACAGUGCAUGUGCGUUAGUGUUGCUGAUGCACGAAGAAUCAAAUGGGUUAGGGAAAAAUUAAUUCUUAUCCUUUAUUCUUAAUCCUUGUUCCCUUUGCCCACACCUGUGUAGGUGUUGUGUAGAGGCCAUGGCUUGAAAUAAAAGCUC